GAGACAGGUGCUGCAUGGCUGUCGUCAGCUCGUGUUGUGAAAUGUUGGGUUAAGUCCCGCAACGAGCGCAACCCUUAUCCUUUGUUGCCAGCGAUUCGGUCGGGAACUCAAAGGAGACUGCCGGUGAUAAACCGGAGGAAGGUGGGGAUGACGUCAAGUCAUCAUGGCCCUUACGAGUAGGGCUACACACGUGCUACAAUGGCGCAUACAAAGAGAAGCGACCUCGCGAGAGCAAGCGGACCUCACAAAGUGCGUCGUAGUCCGGAUCGGAGUCUGCAACUCGACUCCGUGAAGUCGGAAUCGCUAGUAAUCGUGGAUCAGAAUGCCACGGUGAAUACGUUCCCGGGCCUUGUACACACCGCCCGUCACACCAUGGGAGUGGGAUGCAAAAGAAGU
RNAcentral lists this ribosomal RNA (396 nucleotides) under Pantoea sp. RNAcentral's name for it is "bacterial SSU rRNA". It matches the Rfam family "Bacterial small subunit ribosomal RNA", at positions 1031 to 1427 of the family's 1533-position model. The record is from RNAcentral. Lineage: Bacteria; Pseudomonadati; Pseudomonadota; Gammaproteobacteria; Enterobacterales; Erwiniaceae.